RNAcentral lists this ribosomal RNA (1647 nucleotides) under human oral metagenome. RNAcentral describes it as "bacterial LSU rRNA". It matches the Rfam family "Bacterial large subunit ribosomal RNA", at positions 1117 to 2555 of the family's 2925-position model. The record is from RNAcentral.
CAUCCUUGAAAGAGUGCGUAAUAGCUCACUGGUCGAGUGGUCGUGCGCCGACAAUUCAGCGGGGCUCAAGCGCGCCGCCGAAGCCGCGGACCCGCCCCCCCCCUUCUUCUUGUCGGGUGGGGGUCGGGUGGUAGGGGAGCGUCCUGCGUUGGGUGAAGCCCGGGGGUGACCCGCGGGUGGACGGCGUGGGAGUGAGAAUGCAGGCAUGAGUAGCGAUGACUGGGGUGGGAGUCCCCAGCGCCGAGAGACCAAGGGUUCCAGGGCCAGGUUCGUCCGCCCUGGGUGAGUCGGGACCUAAGGCGAGGCCGACAGGCGUAGUCGAUGGAUGACGGGUUGAUAUUCCCGUACCGGCGAAGCACCGACCAUGCUGACGCGCGGGUGCUAACCCACGCCCCUGCUGCCACGACAAGCCGCGGUCGUCUCCUUCGGGGGGUGGUCGUGGUUGUGGUGGCGGGUGGUCUGGGGGUCCUCCGUGCUGGUAGGCAAGCGUGUUAACAGGGGUGACGCACAGUGGUAGCCUCGCGGGCCUGAUGGCUUGGCCCGUUCAAGCGCGCGGCCCGGUCCCCAGGCAAAUCCGGGGGCCUGCCCCGCCGCCCCCUUGCGGGGGUGGUGGGGUGUGGGUGAGGCGUGAUGGUGACCCCGCAGCUGGCGGGGGAUAGCAGGGUGAUCCUGGGGUGCCGAGAAAAGCCUCGACGUGAUGGUGUCAGCCGCCCGUACCCUAAACCGACACAGGUGGUCCGGCAGAGUAUGCCUAGGCGAGCGAGUGAACCGUGGUGAAGGAACUCGGCAAAAUGCCCCCGUAACUUCGGGAGAAGGGGGGCCCGAACCCUGAAACGGCUGGCCCGUUAGGGGGGUGGGCCGCAGAGAGCAGGGGGGAGCGACUGUUUACUAAAAACACAGGUCCGUGCGAAGCCGUAAGGCGAUGUAUACGGACUGACGCCUGCCCGGUGCUGGAAGGUUAAGAGGAUCCCUCAACCCCCCCUGAUGGGGGUGAAGGGGUGAGUUCAAGCCCCAGUAAACGGCGGUGGUAACUAUAACCAUCCUAAGGUAGCGAAAUUCCUUGUCGGGUAAGUUCCGACCUGCACGAAUGGCGUAACGACUUCCCCGCUGUCUCGACCAGGAGCUCGGCGAAAUUGCAGUACGAGUAAAGAUGCUCGUUAAGCGCAGAAGGACGAAAAGACCCCGGGACCUUUACUAUACCUUGGUAUUGUCGUUCGCUGCUGGUUGUGUAGAAUAGGCGGGAGACUGUGAAACCUGGCCGCUAGGCUGGGUGGAGUCAUCAAGUGAAAUACCGUUCUGCUGGCAGUGGGCGUCUAACCUGAGCAUGUUAUCCAUGCUAGGGACAGUGCCUGGCGGGUAGUUUAACUGGGGCGGUUGCCUCCUAAAGAGUAACGGAGGCGCUCAAAGGUCCGCUCAACCCGGUUGGCAAUCGGGUGUUGAGUGUAAUCACACAAGCGGGCUUGACUGUGAGACUGACAGGUCGAGCAGGGACGAAAGUCGGAGAUAAUGAUCCGGUGCCGGUGUACGGACGCGGCAUCGCUCAACGGAUAAAAGGUACCCCGGGGAUAACAGGCUGAUCAUUCCCAAGAGUCCAUAUCGACGGGAUGGUUUGGCACCUCGAUGUCGGCUCGUCGCAUCCUGGGGCUG